This 253-nucleotide ribosomal RNA is filed under the name uncultured bacterium. RNAcentral describes it as "partial 16S ribosomal RNA". It matches the Rfam family "Bacterial small subunit ribosomal RNA", at positions 524 to 776 of the family's 1533-position model. The record is from RNAcentral.
UACGUAGGGUGCAAGCGUUGUCCGGAAUUAUUGGGCGUAAAGAGCUCGUAGGCGGUCUGUCGCGUCGAAUGUGAAAACCCGGGGCUCAACCCCGGGCCUGCAUUCGAUACGGUCAGACUAGAGUUCGGUAGGGGAGUCUGGAACUCCUGGUGUAGCGGUGAAAUGCGCAGAUAUCAGGAGGAACACCGGUGGCGAAGGCGGGACUCUGGGCCGAUACUGACGCUGAGGAGCGAAAGCGUGGGGAGCGAACAGG